AUGUUUUUUAGUAGUAAUAAAAUCUUUUAAUCAUCAUCUGUUCUUAUCAGUUUAAUAUCUGAUACGUCCCCCAUCGGGGGACUACAUAUUACAUGGAUUUUUUGAACAGGGAGUCGGAAAUGGGGCUUGCUCCGUCCGCUCCACGCAUCGACCCGGUAUUGCAGUACCUCCGGGAACGGUGCAACACUU
This is a small nuclear RNA of Oncorhynchus tshawytscha (Chinook salmon), 189 nucleotides long. Its record names the gene U2. It matches the Rfam family "U2 spliceosomal RNA". From Rfam's summary of the family: U2 is a small nuclear RNA (snRNA) component of the spliceosome (involved in pre-mRNA splicing). Complementary binding between U2 snRNA (in an area lying towards the 5' end but 3' to hairpin I) and the branchpoint sequence (BPS) of the intron results the bulging out of an unpaired adenosine, on the BPS, which initiates a nucleophilic attack at the intronic 5' splice site, thus starting the first of two transesterification reactions that mediate splicing. The record is from Ensembl. Lineage: Eukaryota; Metazoa; Chordata; Actinopteri; Salmoniformes; Salmonidae.